GUUCCUUCUUUCAUCUCCUCUUGUAACACUCUGCCUUCUCUUUUGGACAAGACGGCAUACACACGACCUAGAACUUCCGCAGUAGCCAUAAUUUCGCAGGUAUACAUUGCUGCCAUAAGCCUCUGUGGUUUUGCUUGCAAAGCAUAACGACAUGCUUCCUUCAUGGUGGCUAUCAGCUGUCCAGAGAAGGGACCAUAACAAUCUGUAAGUAAAACUUCUCCCUUGUUUUUACUAUUUUUUUCAAGUGACUUUGGAACACUUUGACUGCUCUGUUCGUGUUCAUUCUCACUGCAAGUGUCAACAGUGCAAUUGCUUGUUGGAGAAACAGUAUCUUCACUUUCUUGAUGUUCUACAGCACCACAUUCCCCUGAAUCCCGACUUUUAGUUAGAAGCGUCUCUCCAACCUUAUUCAUUUCCCAUUUUUCCACUGUAAAACACACACCCAUGAGGGGUUCUUCACACAUGGGACCUGAAAGCGUAGCCAGCUGAAAUCCACUUACUAUGCUGUUGUCAAAAUCUCCAUACUUACUUACUUCUUUCUCAGUAUUCUCAAGGCACUGCCACACAGAAUUUUUAUAACCCUCAAAUUUAUGCAACAAAAUAUUAGGCCCACAUUUCCGUGGUCCAAAUGACCAGAUAUGAUCAACUGCAUUUCUCCACUUCCUUCCCUGCAGAUUUUGCUCUAAUUUUUGUUUGAAUUCCUUUAUUUUGUCCAUAGUCUUCUGAUUUAUUUCAUGAGCAUUUUUAUCUUCAUUCAGAGACGUGCUGAGUUGCUCCAUAGUUCGAAUUAAGUCACUGUUUUCU
This 804-nucleotide long non-coding RNA is filed under the name Gallus gallus (chicken). Lineage: Eukaryota; Metazoa; Chordata; Aves; Galliformes; Phasianidae. The record is from RNAcentral.